AAAGGAUCAGCUGCCGGUAAGCUGGGCUGCACGGGACAGGGACUCGGGUCAGGACAGGAUGAGCCCGGGCUGCUGUGGACAUCUCAUGACCCACCGGGAGACAGUGGAGAGAUUUUGAUCUAUUGGCCAGGACCUAGACACCUGGAGCUUCCAUGGGGAGACCUGGAGGACCAAGUCCUGAGCUGAGAUGUUCCCAGCGCGUAGAGUGGACAGUGAGAGAGAGAGACAGAGAGAAAGGAAGACCUAGCACAUGAGAUCUGUAGGAAUUAGGGAAGUGCUGAGCCACACUGGCCACCACUCCAGGACUUUCUUAUGGAGAGAGCAACACCAUGGCAAGAACAUUGAAAAGAGUGAUUGGGGCAGGUGCUAUGGCACAGCGGGUUAAAGCCCUGGCCUGAAGUGCCGGCAUCCCUUAUGGGCGCCAGUUCUAGUCCUGGCUGUUCCUCUUCCAAUCCAGCUCUCUGCUAUGGCCUGGGAAAGCAGUAGAAGAUGGCCCAAGUGCUUGGGCCCCUGCACCCAUGUGGGAGACCUGGAAGAAGCUUCUGGCUCCUGGCUUCAGAUCAGUGCAGCUCCAGCCAUUGCGGCCAUCUGGGGAGUGAACCAGCGGAUGAAAACCUCCCUCUCUGUUUCUCUUUCUCAGUAACUCUGUCUUUCAAAAUAAUAAAAUACAUCUUUAAAAAUAAAAGAGAGUGAUUUUUCUCAUCACAAGAACUACAGGAAGAAUAAGGACCCUCCACACCCUCUGAAGAUGUUGACAUGCCAGUCCCUAGAACCUGUGCCUGGGUUGUCCUCCAAGGUGAAAAACGACUUUGUGGAAGCGACUGAACCGGAGAGCAGAUGGCGAGAUCGUCCUGCUCUGUGUGCAUGGGCCCCGUGAGCGGUGAUAGCCCCCACGGAUGGAGGCUAGGAGCUACCACAACACAGUGGAGACGCGCCGACAGCAGCGGGGAGCGCCGCGGUGUGGCCCCGAGCCAGGGAGCGGCGAGUAACUGCAGCCUCGACACACGGGCAGAGCCAAGGCCACGGGUUCUCCCCGGAACCACCCUGCUGACCCUCGAGUUCCCGGCUAUGAGGCUGACUUCAGACUCGGGCCCUCGAGAGCAGCAAGGGAGUGAAUGUGUGUUGGUUUACCACGCGCAGAUGUCACACGCUGAGUGCAUGGUAAUUCAUCAUAGAAGGGGGUGGAGUGGGGUGGGAUGCCAUAACGGCAAAUGGCAUGUGGCAUGUGAAGCUGGGGCCCGCCCAC
Oryctolagus cuniculus (rabbit) is the source of this 1246-nucleotide non-coding RNA. The record is from RefSeq and is a predicted model, not a curated record. NCBI's taxonomy places the organism in Eukaryota, Metazoa, Chordata, Mammalia, Lagomorpha, Leporidae.